RNAcentral lists this ribosomal RNA (490 nucleotides) under uncultured bacterium. RNAcentral's name for it is "partial 16S ribosomal RNA". It matches the Rfam family "Bacterial small subunit ribosomal RNA", at positions 28 to 507 of the family's 1533-position model. The record is from RNAcentral.
GAUGAACGCUAGCUACAGGCUUAACACAUGCAAGUCGAGGGGCAGCAUGGUCUUAGCUUGCUAAGGCCGAUGGCGACCGGCGCACGGGUGAGUAACACGUAUCCAACCUGCCGUCUACUCUUGGACAGCCUUCUGAAAGGAAGAUUAAUACAAGAUGGCAUCAUGAGUCCGCAUGUUCACAUGAUUAAAGGUAUUCCGGUAGACGAUGGGGAUGCGUUCCAUUAGAUAGUAGGCGGGGUAACGGCCCACUUAGUCUUCGAUGGAUAGGGGUUCUGAGAGGAAGGUCCCCCACAUUGGAACUGAGACACGGUCCAAACUCCUACGGGAGGCAGCAGUGAGGAAUAUUGGUCAAUGGGCGCAGGCCUGAACCAGCCAAGUAGCGUGAAGGAUGACUGCCCUAUGGGUUGUAAACUUCUUUUAUAAAGGAAUAAAGUCGGGUAUGUAUACCCGUUUGCAUGUACUUUAUGAAUAAGGAUCGGCUAACUCCGUG